CUCCCUCAAAUCUUUUCUAAAACAAUAAUUAUAAUAAAGAAAGUGAAGUGGGAUAGACAUGGAUAUAUUUUUUUUUGUUUUUUUAAAUAAGAUAAGAAAUAUGAGCGAAUGCGAUAUAGUUGGUUCAAAACAUGCGUCAUUACUUCAUUAAUAUUACCAUUCAAGACAAUAGAGUUUAAAAACAAGUAGCAUUUAACAACAAGGAAAAUGCAAAAUGAAGGCAAAUUAGUCCAAUGGUUG
RNAcentral lists this long non-coding RNA (240 nucleotides) under Lathyrus oleraceus (garden pea). Its description in RNAcentral is "Pisum sativum (pea) long non-coding RNA (PSAT_LNC013491)". The record is from RNAcentral. Lineage: Eukaryota; Viridiplantae; Streptophyta; Magnoliopsida; Fabales; Fabaceae.